This 496-nucleotide ribosomal RNA is filed under the name uncultured bacterium. RNAcentral describes it as "partial 16S ribosomal RNA". It matches the Rfam family "Bacterial small subunit ribosomal RNA", at positions 29 to 507 of the family's 1533-position model. The record is from RNAcentral.
AUGAACGCUGGCGGCGUGCCUAAUACGUGCAAGUCGAGCGAACAGAUGAGGAGCUUGCUCCUCUGACGUUAGCGGCGGACGGGUGAGUAACACGUGGAUAACCUACCUAUAAGACUGGGAUAACUUCGGGAAACCGGAGCUAAUACCGGAUAAUAUAUUGAACCGCAUGGUUCAAUAGUGAAAGACGGUUUUGCUGUCACUUAUAGAUGGAUCCGCGCCGCAUUAGCUAGUUGGUAAGGUAACGGCUUACCAAGGCAACGAUGCGUAGCCGACCUGAGAGGGUGAUCGGCCACACUGGAACUGAGACACGGUCCAGACUCCUACGGGAGGCAGCAGUAGGGAAUCUUCCGCAAUGGGCGAAAGCCUGACGGAGCAACGCCGCGUGAGUGAUGAAGGUCUUCGGAUCGUAAAACUCUGUUAUUAGGGAAGAACAAAUGUGUAAGUAACUAUGCACGUCUUGACGGUACCUAAUCAGAAAGCCACGGCUAACUACGUG